UACGGAGGGUGCAAGCGUUAAUCGGAAUUACUGGGCGUAAAGCGCACGCAGGCGGUCUGUCAAGUCGGAUGUGAAAUCCCCGGGCUCAACCUGGGAACUGCAUCCGAAACUGGCAGGCUAGAGUCUUGUAGAGGGGGGUAGAAUUCCAGGUGUAGCGGUGAAAUGCGUAGAGAUCUGGAGGAAAACCGGUGGCGAAGGCGGCCCCCUGGACAAAGACUGACGCUCAGGUGCGAAAGCGUGGGGAGCAAACAGGAUUAGAUACCCUGGUGGUCCUCGCCGUAAUCGAUGUCGACUUGUAGGUUGUGCCCUUGAGGCGUGGCUUCCGGAGCUAACGCGUUAAGUCGUCCGCCUGGGGAGUACGGCCGCAAGGUUAAA
This 375-nucleotide ribosomal RNA is filed under the name uncultured bacterium. RNAcentral's name for it is "bacterial SSU rRNA". It matches the Rfam family "Bacterial small subunit ribosomal RNA", at positions 524 to 898 of the family's 1533-position model. The record is from RNAcentral.